GAUGAACGCUGGCGGCGUGCCUAAUACAUGCAAGUAGAACGCUGAAGGAGGAGCUUGCUCUUCUGGAUGAGUUGCGAACGGGUGAGUAACGCGUAGGUAACCUGCCUGGUAGCGGGGGAUAACUAUUGGAAACGAUAGCUAAUACCGCAUGACAACAGUUAUUGCAUGAUAACUGUUUAAAAGGGGCAACUGCUCCACUACCAGAUGGACCUGCGUUGUAUUAGCUAGUUGGUGAGGUAACGGCCCACCAAGGCGACGAUACAUAGCCGACCUGGGAGGGUGAUCGGCCACACUGGGACUGAGACACGGCCCAGACUCCUACGGGAGGCAGCAGUAGGGAAUCUUCGGCAAUGGACGGAAGUCUGACCGGGCAACGCCGCGGGAGUGAAGAAGGGUUUCGGAUCGGAAAGAUCUGUUGUAAGAGAAGAACGAGUGUGAGAGUGGAAAGUUCACACUGUGACGGUAUCUUACCAGAAAGAGACGGCUAACUACGUG
This 495-nucleotide ribosomal RNA is filed under the name uncultured bacterium. RNAcentral describes it as "partial 16S ribosomal RNA". It matches the Rfam family "Bacterial small subunit ribosomal RNA", at positions 28 to 507 of the family's 1533-position model. The record is from RNAcentral.